The sequence is a regulatory RNA element, 114 nucleotides long. It matches the Rfam family "PyrR binding site". From Rfam's summary of the family: This family represents the PyrR binding site and terminator structure. This RNA structure is found upstream of a variety of genes involved in pyrimidine biosynthesis and transport. The record is from Rfam.
AGGCCUUUUAAGUUAAUCCAGAGAGGUUAGCAAGGGUGAUCAUAAAGUCUUACCAAAAAAUUAAAACCAAGAUGUCCGGGUAUCUUCUCCCGAAAGAGAGGAUACCUUUUUUUU